CUGAUUGACUACAGACAGGGAAUGACGGAACUUGGAACAGCGAUACAAUACCAUUUAAAGACAUGAAUGAUUCAACAACGCCAGAAAAUGGGAUACCAGUCAAAAAAACAAGAAUAUCUCAAAAGCAUCUGGACAAUAGCAUAAUGGAGGACGACCAAAAUGGGCAGGCCGAUCUGUCCUCCAGAUCUGAAGGCCCUCAGGGACUCUCGAGAUGCAGCACCAGAACCACCAGUACUGACGAGGCCGUCCUGAAGAAGAUGGAGGAGUGGAAGCGGAUGUGUCGUCUGAGAGGGAGGGGCGUGAGAGAAGGGAGGAUCUGCUCCAUAGCGCAGAGGAUAAAGACUUGUGAGACACCUUCCAGAAAAGUAGCCAGCAGUCAAGACAAUGAGUAUCUGGAGGAUGAUGAGGAUGGUGAUGAUGAUGACAGAGAAAAGGAUGAGGAAGCUGAGAUGGAUGAAGAGGCUGAUUGUGAUGGGGAGGAUGGAGAGUUCUCUGAAGUCAGGCAGAAAAAUGCGAAGUUUCAAAAGUCUAGGAAUAAUCCACCAAAGUUUUUCCAACACCACGCCUCGUCCACCAGAGGGAGCUAUUGCAUCAGUGCCUCUGUGCCGAGGAGUGCCUACACCACCAGUGGAAGAAGGGCCAGGUCUGGGAACACACACACACACAUGAAGCAUGCGUGGCACACUCGCCGUGACUCAGUCUCCUCUGAGGAAGAGGAGGACUCUGAUGAGGAAGAUGGUGGGAAGACCAGUUGUUUGCCUGUCAAUCUGCGUAAGGAAGACAUCUUGGGGAUCCACAGGGACAGGAUGAAGAUCCAAUCGAGUUUGGCAGACAUCGACCCCAUGGUGAUCGACCAGUCAGUGCGUUUCGACAGCGUGGGAGGCCUGACGAGCCACAUCUCAGCCCUGAAGGAGAUGGUGGUGUUCCCCCUGCUCUACCCUGAGGUGUUUGACAAGUUCAAGAUCCAGCCUCCCAGGGGCUGCCUGUUCUACGGCCCCCCGGGGACAGGGAAGACCCUGGUGGCGCGGGCGCUGGCUAACGAGUGCAGCCAGGGGGACAGGAAGGUGGCCUUCUUCAUGAGGAAGGGGGCUGACUGCCUCAGCAAGUGGGUGGGCGAGUCGGAGCGACAGCUGCGCCUGCUCUUCGACCAGGCCUACCAGAUGCGUCCGUCCAUCAUAUUCUUUGAUGAGAUUGACGGUCUAGCUCCGGUCCGCUCCAGCCGUCAGGACCAGAUACACAGCUCCAUCGUGUCCACGCUGCUGGCUCUGAUGGACGGGCUGGACAGCCGGGGGGAGGUGGUGGUGAUCGGAGCCACUAACCGCCUGGACGCCAUCGACCCCGCCCUCAGGAGGCCCGGACGCUUCGACAGGGAGUUCCUGUUUGGCCUCCCCGACCGCGAGUCUCGUCGAGACAUCCUGAAGAUCCACACCCAUCAGUGGUGCCCCGCCCCCUCCGACACCUUCCUGGAUGAGCUGGCUGACAAGUGUGUCGGCUACUGCGGCGCAGACAUCAAGGCGGUGUGCGCGGAGGCGGCCCUCUGCGCGCUGCGGCGCCGCUACCCCCAGAUCUACUCCUCCUCCCAGAAGCUGCUGCUCGACGUCUCCUCCAUCAACGUCACCGCCACCGACUUCCUGGCCGCCAUGGCCAAGACGGUGGCCGCCUCCCAGAGGGCCGUGUCGUCCCCCGCCAAGGCCCUGGCCCCGGCCCUGGCCCCCCUGCUGGGCUCGGAGCUCGCCGCCCUCCUGGACGGCCUGCAGAAGCUGUUCCCCCACGCCGAGCAGGGCCUCAGGAAGAGGAGGGAGGCCUCGGACCUUCUGGAGGACGACCUGCUGUACAGCGGGGACGAGGGGACCUCCUCCAACACCUCCAUCUCCAAGCAGACCCCCCCCUCCACGGGCAGCUUCCUCCACCUGGCGCGGAGUGCAGUGCACCAGCCCACCUCCCACCGGCCCCGGCUCCUGCUGACGGGGCGUCCCGGGGCGGGGCAGAGCGCCCACCUGGCCCCCGCCAUGCUCCACGCCCUGGAGAGGUUCAGCGUGUACACCCUGGACGUGGCCGUGCUGUUUGGGGUCAGCUCCACCUCACCCGAGGAGGCCUGCGCUCAGGUGUUCUGUGAGGCCAGGCGUACGUCCCCCAGCAUCCUGUACGUCCCCAGGAUCCAGCGCUGGUGGGACACGGUGGGGCCGGCCCUGAAGGCCACCUUCACCAGCCUGCUGCAGGACCUGCCCUCCUUCUCCCCCGUGCUGCUGCUGGCCACCAGCGACCAGGCCCACCACGACCUGGACCACGAGGUUCAGGCUCUGUUCCGUGUGGAGCACGGAGAGGUUCACUCCAUCCGGACGCCCACCCAGCAGGAGAGGAGGAGGUUCUUCGAGGACCUGAUCCUCUUCCAGGCUGCCAAAGCCCCCGCUUCCAAGAAGAAGGCCUUGAUGCAUGCCAUGGAGGUGCUCCCCCUGGCCCCCCCUCCGCCCCCCAGGCAGAUGUCGGAUCGCGAGCGCCUGCGCAUGGAGGAGAAGGAAGAGGACACCCUGCGGGAGCUACGCCUCUUCCUGCGGAACGUCACCGAGCGCCUGGCGCAGGACAAACGCUUCAGGGCCUUCAGCAGGCCUGUGGACGUGGAGGAGGUCCCUGACUACACGACCGUGAUCAAGAGCCCCAUGGACCUGUCCACCGUCCUGGCCCACGUGGACUCCCACAAGUACGUCACCGUCCGGGAGUUUGCCAACGACGUGGACCUGAUCUGGAAGAACGCGCUGGAGUACAACCCAGACAGCGACCCCUCUGACCGUCAGAUUCGCCACCGGGCGUGUGCGCUGAAAGACACGCUCCACGCCAUCAUACGUGACGAGCUGGACGAGGACUUUGACAUGAUCUGCGAGCAGAUUAGAAACUCACGGAACAAGAGAGGCUGCAAGACGUCCAUGUUCGCCCCAUCCUACUACCAGACGCUGCCCCGAGAGGAGGGCUGCUCUGACGACAGGAGGCCAAACGGCAAGGACGCCAGCACACCCUUCGCCGCCGACGCUCCACGGCCCACAAGGCAGAAGACAAGAAAAACGAAAGCACGACGCAAAAGCAAGUGGAGUUUAGGCAUCGUAAAGAAAAACAAGAUGAAGAAACGUCCACCCACCCCUUCCUCUUCCUCCUCCUCUUCUUCUACCCUCCCCUCCUCCUCCAGCAAGAACAGAGUGACGGACCCAUCGAUGGAUGAAAGCAACAUGAACGACAGGAUAUGGCAGGGGGGAGCAGAGAAGAAACCAGUAUUUUAAAGAGGAGACACCCUCUGUUCCGGAGGAGUGUACGAAAGAGGGGGCUCACUUUGAAAGAGACCCACGCCCCUCUUCCGGGAAAAGGAAACAGCCAUCCCUGGACCCGCUUGUGAAUUGGGUGGAGCCACCCAGGCACAAAGGCAGCAUCCCUGGGCUCCCACCCACUCAAACCCCCCUGGUCAACCGGCACCACCCCCAGCCUCCUAGUCCCCCAGCAGCUUUGGAGGGUGUACCCAGCCCACGCACCCAUACCUGGGAUCUAGAUCCAGGGGAGGGACCCCUCUCCAUCCCUGGAGAGCCUGAGAGGGCUGUGGAGAACUGGGAGAUGAAGCUAGGUCUGUCUGGGUUGUGUAGGGACCACGUCGCUCCUGCUAGCGCUUCUGCUAACAUGGCCAGCCUCCAUCCCAGCUCUCUGCAGCAGCAGGAGAGAGACGUGGGGGCCGAGUGACGCGGGCCACCUGGACCGCGGCCCAGCAGCAGCAGGUGAUAGACGUGGACAAGGCCCUGGAGAUCCUCUCCCAGAAGUCCCCUCAACUGGUGGUGGACCAUGACAAGCUCAAG
Osmerus eperlanus (European smelt) is the source of this 3830-nucleotide RNA transcript. It is a transcript of the gene named ATPase family AAA domain-containing protein 2-like, with no coding region annotated. NCBI's taxonomy places the organism in Eukaryota, Metazoa, Chordata, Actinopteri, Osmeriformes, Osmeridae. The transcript is spliced from 25 exons. The record is from RefSeq and is a predicted model, not a curated record.